This 462-nucleotide ribosomal RNA is filed under the name uncultured bacterium. Its description in RNAcentral is "partial 16S ribosomal RNA". It matches the Rfam family "Bacterial small subunit ribosomal RNA", at positions 28 to 507 of the family's 1533-position model. The record is from RNAcentral.
GGCGAACGCUGGCGGCGUGCUUAACACAUGCAAGUCGAACGGAAAGGCCCUUCGGGGUACUCGAGUGGCGAACGGGUGAGUAACACGUGGGUGAUCUGCCCUGCACUUUGGGAUAAGCCUGGGAAACUGGGUCUAAUACCGAAUAGGACCACGCGCUUCAUGGUGUGUGGUGGAAAGCUUUUGCGGUGUGGGAUGGGCCCGCGGCCUAUCAGCUUGUUGGUGGGGUAAUGGCCUACCAAGGCGACGACGGGUAGCCGGCCUGAGAGGGUGACCGGCCACACUGGGACUGAGAUACGGCCCAGACUCCUACGGGAGGCAGCAGUGGGGAAUAUUGCACAAUGGGCGCAAGCCUGAUGCAGCGACGCCGCGUGAGGGAUGACGGCCUUCGGGUUGUAAACCUCUUUCAAUAGGGACGAAGCGCAAGUGACGGUACCUAUAGAAGAAGCACCGGCCAACUACGUG